GAUGAACGCUGGCGGCGUGCCUAAUACAUGCAAGUCGAGCGAACAGACGAGGAGCUUUUGCCUCUGCCGGUGGCGACGGACGGGCGGGUAACACGUGGAUCACCUUCUUCUUUUACUUGGAUAAUUUCGGGAAACCGGUUACACUAACACAGAAUAUAUUGAACCGCUUGGUUCAAUAGAGAUAGACGCCUUUCCUGUUUCAUUUAGCUGAUUCCGCGCCGGAUUAGCUAGUUGGUAAGGUAACGGCAUACCAAGGCUACGAUGCGUAGCCGACCUGAGAGGAUGAUCAGCCACACUGGAACUGAGACACGGUCCAGACUCCUACGGGAGGCAGCAGUAGGGAAUAUUCCGCAAUGGGCGAAAGCCUGACGGAGCAACGCCGCGUGAGUGAUGAAGGUCUUCGGGUCGUAAAGCUCUGUUAUUGGGGAAGAACAAAAGUGUGAGUAUAUAUGGAUGUCUUGACGGUACCCAAUCAAAAAGCAACGGCUAACUACGUG
Molecule: ribosomal RNA, 497 nt
Filed under: uncultured bacterium
Lineage: Bacteria
Description: partial 16S ribosomal RNA
Rfam family: Bacterial small subunit ribosomal RNA
Source: RNAcentral